ACUCAACAACGGGACGUGCCAUAAUAACCUGUAGCAUCGAACCACGUGACGUGACACAAACCGUAGGGCCAAAGCGUGAAACAAGCAACAAAUCUCGCUGGCGUCGAAGGAUGGUGUGAACAGCGUUGUGUUGUGGUGCGUUCCCAGAUAUGCGAAGUAGGGAUGGCAUUCGAUGAAGGCACGCGCGAGCGGUUGUGUACCGCCACGAGUCAAUUCAAAGUGGCGAUACGGCAAUACCUAGUGCGAGGUUGUUCACAUAAGGGAACAAACAAGCGCCGAAGGUGGCUGCUGCUCGCAUAACUGUUGGUGGGAGUCACGUGGUUGGACGGGAUGCGCAGCCAGUCAUCGAAAGCCCGCGCAUGUAGUGACCACUAGCGUUCUGCUGUAUCGUUCUCCGUACAUCGGAGCUACAGUUCUGCACUACAAGGAAUCACGAAACAGCGUCUUAACUGGCGCACACAAAUAAGCACCGCAUUACCACAGCACGGUGAUCAGCGUUGUGAGCGCGUCGGGAAGCUGUAGUCCCGCGGCCGCGUAGUGCAAGCAUCCCUUCAAGCCACAUUGUUGUCUUCAGUGUGAGGCCGGCAUGUUUUCGAACAGACGCAAUCGCAUCCUUGUCAAUGAUGAGAGAUAUUGCUUAUUCUCAUAUUUGCACUGAAUAGCAGACAUUUCGCCAGUUUACGCCCAUCGCCCCACUAGUAUCACGUGAUGCAUGGAGGUUGAGGUAGAGGGACGGCGGACCUUAAACUGUGAUGAGAUGAGUGUUCGCUUUCUCAUAUGGAGGUUUCUCGUAUGGAGGUAAUUUGCACAUCGCGCCACGACGAAGCUUUUUUCUUUUCGGUGUUGGUUUCCUGAAAAGUGCCUCGAUAUCUCGGCGUGCACACCAAUUUCAAAAGAUACUUACCGUCACUCGCAAUGUUUGCUGCGGUUCUACCUGCUGAUGAAUUAAGCGCUACAAGGCCAGGGCGUCGUUUGCUAGUCUACCGAGAGAAGGGUCUCGCGAUCCUCUGCUCUGAUGCUACUUAUGCCGCUGAUGGCGAUGCUGAACGUGCUGUGAGUGAAUAUUGCUCACUCUACGUUGCGGCUAACAAAAGUAGGCGUGAUCGUGUUUUCAUGUAGGCUGAAGCGCGGGGUAUGCCUCUCACGCCUGUUCCGCGUGGUUGGCCCCCGUGGAGUCGGGUAGGCAGUGAAGCCCCAUGGCACUGCCCAGUCAGGACGACUCGUGAGAAGAGUUGUUGGCGAUGCCAGACAUACGUAACCCAUCGUGGAGACUCUUGGCAUUCGCGGAGAGCCGCCGGGCACAAACAGGAGAUCGGACACGUUGGUGACAAGUGUGAUGGCGAUAGGAUGGAGAGAAUGAUUUGGAGAAGCAAGUACUCGAGAGGUGGAAGCGACGGCAGCCGACGACAGAAUGAGGGUCGAGAAGUUGCCGCGGCAACCAAGCCGUUGGAUUUUUGUGAUUGUGGAGCGUGGGUUUUAUCGUCUCAUGGAGGCCAUUCAAAGCCUCAGUGUUGCCGACGAACAAGCACAUCGUUGAUGUAGAACGCAUCCGGUAUUCGACCUAGAGAAUGAGGAGUUUAAUGCUUCGCGCAUAUGGUGGGCCCGCAGCCUGCAGGGGGCAGCAGGUGAAGUUGCCGCUAGAAAGGUCCAGGAGGGGAACUGGUGGGGGAAGGUCAUGUCGCCGUGAUUGCUAGUGUUGCUCUGUCCAGCAGGCUCGUGACUUACGACAACAAACUCGGCGUGUAGUGGGGCUUGCCGGAUGUGCGUAUCAAAGGGCGUAUAGCGGGGCGUUGCUUGCUGCUGUCGAUCGUUAAUCUGGG
RNAcentral lists this long non-coding RNA (1820 nucleotides) under Toxoplasma gondii VEG. The record is from RNAcentral. Lineage: Eukaryota; Apicomplexa; Conoidasida; Eucoccidiorida; Sarcocystidae.